UACGUAUGGAGCAAGCGUUAUCCGGAUUUACUGGGUGUAAAGGGUGCGCAGGUGGCAGAGCAAGUCAGAAGUGAAAACCCGGGGCUCAACUCCGAGGAUUGCUUUUGAAACUGUUUUGCUAGAGUCCAGGAGAGGCAAGCGGAAUUCCUAGUGUAGCGGUGAAAUGCGUAGAUAUUAGGAGGAACACCAGUGGCGAAGGCGGCUUGCUGGACUGGUACUGACACUGAGGCACGAAAGCGUGGGGA
RNAcentral lists this ribosomal RNA (245 nucleotides) under uncultured Lachnospiraceae bacterium. Its description in RNAcentral is "partial 16S ribosomal RNA". It matches the Rfam family "Bacterial small subunit ribosomal RNA", at positions 524 to 767 of the family's 1533-position model. The record is from RNAcentral. Lineage: Bacteria; Bacillati; Bacillota; Clostridia; Lachnospirales; Lachnospiraceae.